AGAGGGCAGAAGGAAGACACCGUGAUCGUGAAGGUGAUUUCCCCAGCAGAAUGCUCAUCCAUUGCACUUGGGAUGCACUGACCCCUUAGAUUUCUCCAAAUUCAGGAGCUCCGCUGCAUGGUUUGUGGACUGC
RNAcentral lists this small nuclear RNA (133 nucleotides) under Microtus ochrogaster (prairie vole). RNAcentral's name for it is "U1 spliceosomal RNA (ENSMOCG00000011310.1)". Lineage: Eukaryota; Metazoa; Chordata; Mammalia; Rodentia; Cricetidae. The record is from RNAcentral.